Molecule: ribosomal RNA, 484 nt
Filed under: uncultured bacterium
Lineage: Bacteria
Description: partial 16S ribosomal RNA
Rfam family: Bacterial small subunit ribosomal RNA
Source: RNAcentral
AUUGAACGCUGGCGGCAGGCCUAACACAUGCAAGUCGAGCGGAUGAAGGGAGCUUGCUCCUGGAUUCAGCGGCGGACGGGUGAGUAAUGCCUAGGAAUCUGCCUGGUAGUGGGGGAUAACGUCCGGAAACGGGCGCUAAUACCGCAUACGUCCUGAGGGAGAAAGUGGGGGAUCUUCGGACCUCACGCUAUCUGAUGAGCCUAGGUCGGAUUAGCUAGUUGGUGGGGUAAAGGCCUACCAAGGCGACGAUCCGUAACUGGUCUGAGAGGAUGAUCAGUCACACUGGAACUGAGACACGGUCCAGACUCCUACGGGAGGCAGCAGUGGGGAAUAUUGGACAAUGGGCGAAAGCCUGAUCCAGCCAUGCCGCGUGUGUGAAGAAGGUCUUCGGAUUGUAAAGCACUUUAAGUUGGGAGGAAGGGCAGUAAGUUAAUACCUUGCUGUUUUGACGGUACCAACAGAAUAAGCACCGGCUAACUUCGUG